This 218-nucleotide ribosomal RNA is filed under the name uncultured bacterium. RNAcentral describes it as "partial 16S ribosomal RNA". It matches the Rfam family "Bacterial small subunit ribosomal RNA", at positions 524 to 740 of the family's 1533-position model. The record is from RNAcentral.
UACGUAGGGGGCAAGCGUUGUCCGGAUUUAUUGGGCGUAAAGAGCGUGUAGGCGGCUUGGUAGGUCCGCUGUGAAAACCUCGAGGCCUCAACCUCGAGACGUCGGCGGAAACCAUCUGGCUAGAGUCCGGAAGAGGAGAGUGGAAUCCUGGUGUAGCGGUGAAAUGCGCAGAUAUCAGGAAGAACACCCGUGGCGAAGGCGGCUCUCUGGGACGGUAC